UGAAUACGAGAUGCUACGGCGUCGAAGCAGUCUAUGUCAUACUUCCAAGAAAAGCUCGCACUGUCAUAAACAAAUAAUGCCUGUACCAUAACCGACACAGGUGGGUAGGUAGAGUAUACUAAGGGGCGCGAGAUAACUCUCUCUAAGGAACUCGGCAAAAUGACUCCGUAACUUCGGGAGAAGGAGUGCCUUAUUUAUAAGGUUGCAAUAACAAGAUCCAAGCAACUGUUUAUCAAAAACACAGGUCUCCGCUAAGUCGUAAGACGAUGUAUGGGGGCUGACGCCUGCCCAGUGCCAGAAGGUUAAAGAAGUUGGUUAGCAUUCGCGGAGCUGAUAACUGAAGCCCUGGUGAACGGCGGCCGUAACGAUAACGGUCCUAAGGUAGCGAAAUUCCUUGUCGGGUAAGUUCCGACCCGCACGAAAGGCGUAAUGAUUUGGAUACUGUCUCGGUGAGGGGCUCGGUGAAAUAGACUUGUCUGUGAAGAUGCGGACUACCUGCACCAGGACAGAAAGACCCUAUGAAGCUUUACUGUAACUUGAGAUUGAAAUUGGACUUUACUUGCGCAGUAUAGGUGGGAGGCGUUGAUAAUAUUCUUGCGGGAUUAUUUGAGCCAUCAGUGAGAUACCACUCUUGUAAUGUUAGAUUUCUAACUUUGUAUCAUUAUCUGGUCAAAGGACAGUUUCAGGCGGGCAGUUUGACUGGGGCGGUCGCCUCCUAAACGGUAACGGAGGCGCACAAAGGUUUCCUCUGAACGGGUAGAAAUCGUAUCUAGAGUGUAAAGGCAUAAGGAAGCUUGACUGUGAGACCUACAAGUCGAGCAGGGACGAAAGUCGGUCUUAGUGAUCUGACGGUGCUGAGUGGAAAGGCCGUCACUCAACGGAUAAAAGUUACUCUAAGGAUAACAGGCUGAUCUCCCCCAAGAGUUCACAUCGACGGGGAGGUUUGGCACCUCGAUGUCGGCUCAUCGCAUCCUGGGGCGGUAGUACGUCCCAAGGGUUGGGCUGUUCGCCCAUGAAAGCGGUACGCGAGCUGGGUUCAGAACGUCGUGAGACAGUUCGGUCCAUAUCCGGUGUAGGCGUUAGAAUAUUGAGAGGAGCCUUCUUUAGUACGAGAGGACCGAGAAGGACAUACCUCUGGUGUACCAGUUAUCGUGCCAACGGUAAACGCUGGGUAGCUAUGUAUGGAGUGGAUAACCGCUGAAAGCAUCUAAGUGGGAAGCCCACCUCAAGAUAAG
This 1235-nucleotide ribosomal RNA is filed under the name metagenome. Its description in RNAcentral is "bacterial LSU rRNA". It matches the Rfam family "Bacterial large subunit ribosomal RNA", at positions 1564 to 2808 of the family's 2925-position model. The record is from RNAcentral.